AGUAGUUGCUUCCAUUUCCAGCCAAGCUGUGACAAACCAUCCAGGAGAUCAUGAUGAAUCACCCCGAGAUGGUCACAGCAGACAAGCAGGACUGUUUCAGGAGGAAUUCUGGAGGUCAGCAUCACCACCGACGUCUGAAAUAGGUGUAAAUGGCACUUGAAGAUACAAGGUGGCUGGCUUUCACGGACCAAGCUACUGCAGAUCAACCAUCAGUGUCUGUCAUUUUCCUGGAAAAUGUCUCAGCUACCAGGCCCUGAAGGAAAUGUUUACAUUGCAAAACUGACCAACCAUCAGACCCACCAGAAAUCACUUCUCCAAGGAAACAAUGCAAAAUGCCCAGGAAGAGUUACUUAUAUUUUCUGGAGUAAGGAAGAAUAAAGAUAUCAAACAGCAAGAUGACUUUGGUGGCAUCCUUGCCUUUGCUUCACAAGACUCCUCACUCUCCAACUAUAGUUUCCACUUCUACGACUCCUGAAAUCUUUCAGCCCCAGGAUAGAUUGCAUGUGUUUACAUGUUCAUGGGAAUACUUGGGUGCAUGUGUCUGAUGAGAUUGUUCAUGUGUGUGCACACACAUAUGGAGGCCAGAGGACUUGUGAUUCAGGUGACAGCCACCUCAUUUUGAAAUGGUGUCUCUCACUGAUCAUAGUGUCUCGUUGGCCUGGACCUUACAAGUAAGGAAGAUGGCUGCCCAUUGACUCCCAGGGAUCCAUUUGUCUCAGCAAUGGAAUUGCUGGAAUUAGGGAGGCAAACCACCAUCCCGGGCUUUUUUUUUUUUUAAAUCUGGUGAUCAGAACAUCUCCACAUCAUCCCAGGAUAGUGAAUUUUCACAAUUUUCACAAUUUUCACAAUUUUCACAAUUUUCACAGGAUAGUGAAUUUUCACAUACAAUUAUCAGGGUAGCAACUGAGCAUCUGGCAAAAUGUGUUGUAUUUUUAAGUGACUGGCCUGUAAUACCAAUAUAUCUAUUGAUAUAAUGAUGACAUAAGUAGUUACAUACCAAUAUAGGUCAUGAUGUGAUAUAUAUUUUAUGCAUUGGUAUAUAAUGGGAAUAUACAUUAUGUGCUAAUGUAGAUAUUUGUUAAAUGGGUGAAAAGCUGAGUUGAUGAUCAAAGACUUUAAGGUUAAACCUGAAUGACUUAAGUGUUCAGAAUUUGGAAAUGGCACCAUAUAUGGAAAGUUUCCAUGACUGUUUUACAACUCCACUCUUCUUGAAUAGUCCAGAAAGAGAAAGAAAGAGAUGGGGCAUUGCUAAAAUGGGGUAUUGCUGCAAUCCUAGAUCAGCCUUGCUAUCAGUGUCACUGUUACAGGGAUGCUGCUAUUCAGCAAUGAAUGGAAAGUGUCCGCCCUGGAGCCAGCUUAUGGGGCCUCAGAAGCUGCAUUUGACCAAGAUAAGAAUUUUACUUAUAUUUAAUCUGUGACAUUGUAUUCUCCCUAAGGUAUAAUUCUCUACCUAAUGGAAAAGAAAGAGAGAGAGAGAGAGAGACAGAGAGAGAGAGAGAGAGAGAGAGAGAGAGAGAGAGACAGAGAGAGACAGAGAGAGAGACAGAGGCAGAGACAGAGACAGAGACAGAGACAGAGACAGAAAGACCUUGAGGUGACUGCUGUCUGCUCAUUGCUCAGCCCCAGGUCAUUUUCUUCUGUCAUGUACCUUCCUGUUGACAUACAGUGACUCAUAGCCUCUAGCAAAGUUGACAGAACUGAAUGAACCCAUCCAAGUUAGGUCAGUCAGCGAUUUCAUAUCAAUCUGUAAUUGGAAUUAAGGGACUCUGGUAAGUCUUCAUCUAAGAAGUAGUUGAGACCAUGCAUAAGUACACUUGGCUACUUACUACCACUUUCUGGGGACUGAUACGGGUCUCUCCUUUCCUUGCCUCACUUCCAAACUAGCAAAGGGAUGGAAAUCAUUAGCAGAACAGAAACACAUCAGCCUUUUCUGCUUAAACACGACUAGUUUGGCAAUGUAGAACUCUUGAUGAGACAGGUUUGUUGGUGACCCUAAUGGAGGGAGGGAGAGUGUGGCCUUUUGGAGGUCUCUCCAGGGAGAAAGAAAGUAGAGAUGUCUUAAUUAUGAAGGUCUUAUCCUUUUCUCAAGUCAUCAACAAAAAUCCAAAAGUAUAACCCUAACUGAAGUUUUUGUCUUUGGGAAAUAAGAGGCUUUGCCUCUUGUGGAGAUGCAGAGAAAGCCAGGCUCAAGAGACAGUGGGUGCCAGGAAGCUGCUCUUCUCACCUGUGUCCUGAUUUCCCAGCUUUGAUUUCUCAACCUUCUUAGGAAGCGCAGCCACACUUCUUAUCCCUGAGUUCCCUCGAGCAAACUUCCCCUCUAUGUAAGGCUUGUGUCUUGGUGAGGUUUGAAAAUAAACUGGUUGUAGACAAUGC
Mus musculus (house mouse) is the source of this 2373-nucleotide long non-coding RNA. RefSeq annotates it as expressed sequence AI314278. Lineage: Eukaryota; Metazoa; Chordata; Mammalia; Rodentia; Muridae. The transcript has 2 exons. The record is from RefSeq and is marked validated.